Haliotis rubra (blacklip abalone) is the source of this 298-nucleotide long non-coding RNA. RefSeq lists it as uncharacterized. The transcript is spliced from 3 exons. The record is from RefSeq and is a predicted model, not a curated record. Lineage: Eukaryota; Metazoa; Mollusca; Gastropoda; Lepetellida; Haliotidae.
UUGGUCAGCUUUUGAUUCUCCCUUAUUGUAUGUGUAACCGCGGUACCCAUGUCAUGUCAAGAAACAAGGGAGUACUUGUAGUGGGUUCGAGGGAUUUAUUUGGACAAAUGGAAGCCCAGAUCUGCCCUAAAACAUACACAAUUCAACCAUAAAUAUCAUGGCAAUACAUAGACACAAGAUAACGAUAUUACUUUUAAGAUUUACAGUUCAUUUCUGUAUACUUUACAAAUCCCUUUAGAUAAAACAUAUUACACUUUAUAUAAAGAUCAUGCACAUGCAAUUGAACAUAAAUAUAUUA